UGGGGAAUCUUGCACAAUGGGGGCAACCCUGAUGCAGCGACGCCGCGUGAGCGAUGAAGCCCUUCGGGGCGUAAAGCUCUUUCGACCGGAACGAUAAUGACGGUACCGGGAGAAGAAGCUGCGGCUAACUACGUGCCAGCAGCCGCGGUAAUACGUAGGCAGCAAGCGUUGUUCGGAGUUACUGGGCGUAAAGAGUGCGUAGGCGGUUUUCUAAGUUCGGUGUGAAAUCUCCCGGCUUAACUGGGAGGGUGCGCCGAAGACUGGGAAGCUGGAGUGUGGGAAAGGCAGGCGGAAUUCCUGGUGUAGCGGUGAAAUGCGUAGAUAUCAGGAGGAACACCGGCGGUGUAGACGGCUUGCUAGACCAUACCUGACGCUGAGGCACGAGAGCGUGGGUAGCAAACA
Molecule: ribosomal RNA, 402 nt
Filed under: uncultured bacterium
Lineage: Bacteria
Description: bacterial SSU rRNA
Rfam family: Bacterial small subunit ribosomal RNA
Source: RNAcentral